RNAcentral lists this ribosomal RNA (253 nucleotides) under uncultured bacterium. RNAcentral's name for it is "partial 16S ribosomal RNA". It matches the Rfam family "Bacterial small subunit ribosomal RNA", at positions 524 to 776 of the family's 1533-position model. The record is from RNAcentral.
UACAGAGGUCUCAAGCGUUGUUCGGAAUCAUUGGGCGUAAAGAGCGUGUAGGCGGCUCGGUAAGUCCGCUGUAAAAGUCCAGGGCUCAACCCUGGAAAGCCGGUGGAAACUGUCGAGCUAGAGUCCGGAAGAGGCGAGUGGAAUUCCUGGUGUAGCGGUGAAAUGCGCAGAUAUCAGGAGGAACACCAAUGGCGAAGGCAGCUCGCUGGGACGGUACUGACGCUGAGACGCGAAAGCGUGGGGAGCAAACAGG